CAAAACUUCUGCAGAAAAAAACAAGUUGCAAGGAAAUUUUUUAUUAUUAUUACUUUUUCUAAAAAUAUGGAAAGAAGAAAAUCGUGAAUAAUUUGUUUUGGUGGGUUUUAGAUAAAUUGGGUGUGGCAAUAAAAAAUUGAAAAAUUGUCCCAUAAGGAAAAUAAAUAAA
Molecule: non-coding RNA, 169 nt
Organism: Camelina sativa (false flax)
Lineage: Eukaryota; Viridiplantae; Streptophyta; Magnoliopsida; Brassicales; Brassicaceae
Source: RefSeq, a predicted model, not a curated record